UACAGAGGGUGCAAGCGUUUAAUCGGAAUUACUGGGCGUAAAGCGCGCGUAGGCGGCUGUCUAAGUCGGAUGUGAAAUCCCCGGGCUUAACCUGGGAACUGCAUUCGAUACUGGGCGGCUAGAGUAUGAGAGAGGGAGGUAGAAUUCCACGUGUAGCGGUGAAAUGCGUAGAUAUGUGGAGGAAUACCGGUGGCGAAGGCGGCCUCCUGGCUUAAUACUGACGCUGAGGUGCGAAAGCGUGGGGAGCAAACAGG
RNAcentral lists this ribosomal RNA (254 nucleotides) under uncultured bacterium. Its description in RNAcentral is "partial 16S ribosomal RNA". It matches the Rfam family "Bacterial small subunit ribosomal RNA", at positions 524 to 776 of the family's 1533-position model. The record is from RNAcentral.